RNAcentral lists this unclassified non-coding RNA (263 nucleotides) under plant metagenome. RNAcentral describes it as "partial contains small subunit ribosomal RNA, internal transcribed spacer 1, and 5.8S ribosomal RNA". The record is from RNAcentral.
UUUCCGUAGGUGAACCUGCGGAAGGAUCAUUAUUGUAUAACCGAGGUGCGAGGGCUGUCGCUGACCCGAAAGGUCGUGCACGCCCGAGUACCCUCACACACAUCCAUCUCACCCCUAUGUGCACCACCGCGUGGGUCCCCCUUUGGCUUGUUCGGAGGGGGGCUUACGUUUUCACACAAACUUUGUAUGCAGUGUAGAAUGUAUUUUUUGCUUUUGCGAUCACGCAAUCAAUACAACUUUCAACAACGGAUCUCUUGGCUCUC